RNAcentral lists this ribosomal RNA (513 nucleotides) under Orthotylinae gen. Z ORTHGEN sp. Msp020. RNAcentral's name for it is "partial large subunit ribosomal RNA". It matches the Rfam family "Bacterial large subunit ribosomal RNA", at positions 1815 to 2605 of the family's 2925-position model. The record is from RNAcentral. Lineage: Eukaryota; Metazoa; Arthropoda; Insecta; Hemiptera; Miridae.
AUGGUCUUUUGUUAAUAUAUAUAAGAUCUGACCUGCUCAAUGAUUUUUAAAUAGCUGCAGUAUUCUGACUGUACAAAGGUAGCAUAAUAACUUGUCUUUUAAUUGAGGUCUGGAAUGAAUGGUUUGAUGAGAAAUAGACUUUUUCAAUUUAAUAGUAAAAAUUUAAUUUUUAAGUUAAAAAGCUUAAAUUGAUUUAUAGGACGAGAAGACCCUAUAGAACUUUAUUUUUAUGUUUUAAGUUCUUUUGGCUUAUUAGUGAAUUAUAAAUUAAUAAAAAUUUUGUUGGGGUGACAAAAAAAAUUUCAUAACUUUUUUUAAUUUUUGCAUUUAUAUAUGUAUGUUUGAUCCUUCUUUUUGGAAAAAAGAAUAAGUUACCUUAGGGAUAACAGCGUUAUUAUUUUGGAGAGUUCUUAUUGAUAAAAUAGUUUGCGACCUCGAUGUUGGAUUAAAAUAAGGUAUAGGAGUAGAAUAUUAUAUACUUGGUCUGUUCGACCUUUAAAUUUUUACAUGAUC